UGGGGAAUAUUGCACAAUGGGCGCAAGCCUGAUGCAGCCAUGCCGCGUGUGUGAAGAAGGCCUUCGGGUUGUAAGGCACUUUCAGCGAGGAGGAAGGUGGUGAACUUAGUACGUUCAUCAAUUGACGUUACUCGCAGAAGAAGCACCGGCUAACUCCGUGCCAGCAGCCGCGGUAAUACGGAGGGUGCAAGCGUUAAUCGGAAUUACUGGGCGUAAAGACGCACGCAGGCGGUUUGUUAAGUCAGAUGUGAAAUCCCCGGGCUCAACCUGGGAACUGCAUUUGAAACUGGCAAGCUAGAGUCUCGUAGAGGGGGGUAGAAUUCCAGGUGUAGCGGUGAAAUGCGUAGAGAUCUGGAGGAAUACCGGUGGCGAAGGCGGCCCCCUGGACGAAGACUGACGCUCAGGUGCGAAAGCGUGGGGCAGCAAACAGGAUUAGAUACCCUGGUAGUCCACGCUGUAAACGAUGUCGAUUUGGAGGUUGUGCCCUUGAGGCGUGGNUUCCGGAGCUAACGCGUUAAAUCGACCGCCU
This 529-nucleotide ribosomal RNA is filed under the name uncultured bacterium. RNAcentral's name for it is "partial 16S ribosomal RNA". It matches the Rfam family "Bacterial small subunit ribosomal RNA", at positions 355 to 874 of the family's 1533-position model. The record is from RNAcentral.